AAGCUGCACGAGCUGAAGGUCUCACAUCAACUCGGAAUCUCUCUCUAGUACCUACGGAAAAGUACUCCACAACAAUCUUUCCAGCUGAAGCAACGACCGCGCAGCUGCGAGACGGUAACCGCCUCAGGGUCCUCGCUGCGAAACUGUUUUUAAAAUCCCUAGGGCCUCAUCUGCACGUUUAGCAUCCAACUUUCAGUUUCCAACUCCCACCAGCAAAGCAAAACAAAACAAAACAAAACAAAGAAGAUCAAAAGGUUUCAAGAUAUAGUGGGGUGUCUGCCUUCAAGGUGUCAAUUAAAGAGUUGAGAAAGUUCAUUGCUUGACGGUUCAUGAAAACAAUCAAGAUCUUCAUUCUCUGCUCGAUUUCAAGAAGGGCACCACCAACGAUCCAAUUGGAGCCAUAAACAGUUAGAUCAACAACACCAACUUCUGCAAAUGGAAAGGUGUGAAGUGCACCUUGAUGAAGACAUCCAUACUACUGAUACAUCUAUGCCAAUACAAGUAACAAUUUCUGGUCCCAUUACUCGCGCUCGUGCUCGUCAACUCAA
Molecule: long non-coding RNA, 548 nt
Organism: Zea mays
Lineage: Eukaryota; Viridiplantae; Streptophyta; Magnoliopsida; Poales; Poaceae
Exons: 3
Source: RefSeq, a predicted model, not a curated record